RNAcentral lists this ribosomal RNA (424 nucleotides) under uncultured bacterium. RNAcentral's name for it is "partial 16S ribosomal RNA". It matches the Rfam family "Bacterial small subunit ribosomal RNA", at positions 360 to 776 of the family's 1533-position model. The record is from RNAcentral.
AAUAUUAGACAAUGGGCGGAAGGCUGAUCUAGCCAAGCCGCGUGUUUGAAGAAGGGCUUCGGAUUGUAAAGCACUUGUAUUUGGGCGGGAGGGCAGUUAACGAAUACGUAACUGGUUUGACGUUACCAAAAGAAUAAGCACCGGCUAACUUCGUGCCAGCAGCCGCGGUAAUACGAAGUGUGCAAGCGUUAAUCGGAAUUCCUGGGCGUAAAGCGCGCGUAGGUGGUUCGUUAAGUUGGAAGUGAAAGCCCCGGGCUCAACCUGGGAAUUGCUUUCAAAACUGGCGAGCUAGAGUACGGUAGAGGGUGGUGGAAUUUCCUGUGUAGCGGUGAAAUGCGUAGAUAUAGGAAGGAACAUCAGUGGCGAAGGCGACCACCUGGACUGAUACUGACACUGAGGUGCGAAAGCGUGGGGAGCAAACAGG